GAUGAAGAACGCAGCGAAAUGCGAUACGUAAUGUGAAUUGCAGAAUUCAGUGAAUCAUCGAAUCUUUGAACGCAUAUUGCGCUCUCGGGUAUUCCGGAGAGCAUGCUUGUUUGAGUAUCAGUAAACACCUCAACUUCCAUAUCUUUUUUGAAAUGGGAGUUGGACUUGAGUGAUCCCAACGCUUUUCCUCACCGAAAAGUGGCGGGUUACUUGAAAUGCAGGUGCAGCUGGACUUUUCUCUGAGCUAUAAGCAUAUCUAUUUAGUCUGCCUAAAAAACAGAUUAUUACCUUUGCUGCAGCUAACAUAAAGGAGAUUAGUUCUUGUGCUGACUGAUGCAGGAUUCACAAAGACGGCUUCGGCCGACUUUGUAAACUCGAUCUCAAAUCAAGUAAGACUACCCGCUGAACUUAAGCAUAUCAAUAGCGGAGGA
Molecule: unclassified non-coding RNA, 431 nt
Filed under: soil metagenome
Description: partial contains 5.8S ribosomal RNA, internal transcribed spacer 2, and large subunit ribosomal RNA
Rfam family: 5.8S ribosomal RNA (bases 1-120)
Source: RNAcentral